This 425-nucleotide ribosomal RNA is filed under the name uncultured bacterium. RNAcentral describes it as "partial 16S ribosomal RNA". It matches the Rfam family "Bacterial small subunit ribosomal RNA", at positions 354 to 796 of the family's 1533-position model. The record is from RNAcentral.
GUUAGGAAUAUUGGACAAUGGGCGCAAGCCUGAUCCAGCCAUGCCGCGUGAGUGAUGAAGGCCUUCGGGUUGUAAAGCUCUUUAGCCGAUGAUUAUAAUGACUGUAGUCGGAAAAUAAGCCCCGGCUAACUUCGUGCCAGCAGCCGCGGUAAUACGAAGGGGGCGAGCGUUAUUCGGAAUCACUGGGCGUAAAGCGUGCGUAGGCGGCUUUGCAUGUUGGGAGUGAAAGCCCAGGGCUCAACCCUGGAAUUGCUCUCAAAACUGCAAGGCUCGAAUUCGGGAGAGGAUAGCGGAAUUGUCAGUGUAGCAGUGAAAUGCGUAGAUAUUGACAGGAACACCAGUGGCGUAAGCGGCUAUCUGGACCGAUAUUGACGCUGAGGCACGAAAGCGUGGGGAUCAAACAGGAUUAGAAACCCUUGUAGUCC